Molecule: ribosomal RNA, 340 nt
Filed under: Tapirus terrestris (Brazilian tapir)
Lineage: Eukaryota; Metazoa; Chordata; Mammalia; Perissodactyla; Tapiridae
Description: partial 12S ribosomal RNA
Rfam family: Bacterial small subunit ribosomal RNA
Source: RNAcentral
AACCCAAAUUAAUAUACUCCGGCGUAAAGAGUGUCAAAGAUAUAUACAUAUAAUAAAGUUAAAAACUAACUAAGCUGUAAAAAGCCACAGCGAAAAAUAAAAUAAACUACGAAAGUGACUUUAACACCUCUGACUACACGACAGCUAAGAUCCAAACUGGGAUUAGAUACCCCACUAUGCUUAGCCAUAAACUAAAAUAAUUUAUCCAACAAAAUUAUUCGCCAGAGUACUACUAGCAAUAGCUUAAAACUCAAAGGACUUGGCGGUGCUUUAUAUCCCUCUAGAGGAGCCUGUUCCAUAAUCGAUAAACCCCGAUAAACCUUACCAUCCCUUGCCAACA